GGGGAAUAUUGCACAAUGGGCGAAAGCCUGAUGCAGCGACGCCGCGUGAGGGAUGACGGCCUUCGGGUUGUAAACCUCUUUCAGCAGGGAAGAAGCGAAAGUGACGGUACCUGCAGAAGAAGCGCCGGCUAACUACGUGCCAGCAGCCGCGGUAAUACGUAGGGUACGAGCGUUGUCCGGAAUUAUUGGGCGUAAAGAGCUCGUAGGUGGUUGGUCACGUCUGCUGUGGAAACGCAACGCUUAACGUUGCGCGUGCAGUGGGUACGGGCUGACUAGAGUGCAGUAGGGGAGUCUGGAAUUCCUGGUGUAGCGGUGAAAUGCGCAGAUAUCAGGAGGAACACCGGUGGCGAAGGCGGGACUCUGGGCUGUAACUGACACUGAGGAGCGAAAGCAUGGGGAGCGAACA
This 406-nucleotide ribosomal RNA is filed under the name uncultured Brevibacterium sp. RNAcentral describes it as "bacterial SSU rRNA". It matches the Rfam family "Bacterial small subunit ribosomal RNA", at positions 356 to 774 of the family's 1533-position model. The record is from RNAcentral. Lineage: Bacteria; Bacillati; Actinomycetota; Actinomycetes; Micrococcales; Brevibacteriaceae.